This 460-nucleotide ribosomal RNA is filed under the name uncultured bacterium. RNAcentral's name for it is "partial 16S ribosomal RNA". It matches the Rfam family "Bacterial small subunit ribosomal RNA", at positions 338 to 795 of the family's 1533-position model. The record is from RNAcentral.
CCUACGGGAGACAGCAGUGAGGAAUAUUGGUCAAUGGCCGGAAGGCUGAACCAGCCAUGCCGCGUGAAGGUCAGUGCCCUAUGGGCGUUAAACUUCUUUUGUGCGGGAGCAAUAAUGGUCACGUGUGGCCAGACGAGAGUACCGUACGAAUAAGCAUCGGCUAACUCCGUGCCAGCAGCCGCGGUAAUACGGGGGAUGCAAGCGUUAUCCGGGUUUAUUGGGUUUAAAGGGUGCGUAGGCUGUGAGGUAAGUCAGCGGUGAAAUGCCCCCGCUCAACGGGGUGAAGUGCCAUUGAUACUGGCUUGCUGGAAUGCGGAUGCCGUAGGAGGAAUGUGUGGUGUAGCGGUGAAAUGCAUAGAUAUCACACAGAACACCGAUUGCGAAGGCAGCUCACGAAUCCGCGAUUGACGCUGAUGCGCGAAAGCGUGGGUAUCAAACAGGAUUAGAUACCCUUGUAGUC